UCUCCGUUGGUGAACCAGCGGAGGGAUCAUUACCGAGUUUACAACUCCCAAACCCCUAUGUGAACGUUACCAAACUGUUGCCUCGGCGAGAAAUUCAUGCCCCGGGCGCGUCGCAGCCCCGGACCAAGGCGCCCGCCGGAGGACCAACCAAAACUCUUUUGUAUGUCCCUCGCGGACUUUUAUAAUUCUGAACCAUCUCGGCGCCCCUAGCGGGCGUUUCGAAAAUGAAUCAAAACUUUCGACAACGGAUCUCUUGGUUCUG
RNAcentral lists this unclassified non-coding RNA (262 nucleotides) under plant metagenome. Its description in RNAcentral is "partial contains small subunit ribosomal RNA, internal transcribed spacer 1, and 5.8S ribosomal RNA". The record is from RNAcentral.